GCUCCAAGAGUGUAUAUUAAAGUUGUUGCGGUUAAAAAGCUCGUAGUUGGACCUUGAAGUUUGGUGGUGCCGGUUCUAGGUAGGCUACGGCCUAGGAGUUAAACCGAGCCUGUCAGCUUUCUCUCUUUCUCAAGCAUUAUGGGAUCUUGGGUGACCUUGAUCCUGCUUGAGAUAGUUUACUUUGAAAAAUUAGGGUGUUC
RNAcentral lists this ribosomal RNA (200 nucleotides) under uncultured eukaryote. RNAcentral's name for it is "partial 18S ribosomal RNA". It matches the Rfam family "Eukaryotic small subunit ribosomal RNA", at positions 588 to 776 of the family's 1831-position model. The record is from RNAcentral.